UAUUAUGAGAGUUUGAUCCUGGCUCAGGACGAACGCUGGCGGCGUGCCUAAUACAUGCAAGUCGAACGCUUCUUUCCUCCCGAGUGCUUGCACUCAAUUGGAAAGAGGAGUGGCGGACGGGUGAGUAACACGUGGGUAACCUACCCAUCAGAGGGGGAUAACACUUGGAAACAGGUGCUAAUACCGCAUAACAGUUUAUGCCGCAUGGCAUAAGAGUGAAAGGCGCUUUCGGGUGUCGCUGAUGGAUGGACCCGCGGUGCAUUAGCUAGUUGGUGAGGUAACGGCUCACCAAGGCCACGAUGCAUAGCCGACCUGAGAGGGUGAUCGGCCACACUGGGACUGAGACACGGCCCAGACUCCUACGGGAGGCAGCAGUAGGGAAUCUUCGGCAAUGGACGGAAGUCUGACCGAGCAACGCCGCGUGAGUGAAGAAGGUUUUCGGAUCGUAAAACUCUGUUGUUAGAGAAGAACAAGGACGUUAGUAACUGAACGUCCCCUGACGGUAUCUAACCAGAAAGCCACGGCUAACUACGUGCCAGCAGCCGCGGUAAUACGUAGGUGGCAAGCGUUGUCCGGAUUUAUUGGGCGUAAAGCGAGCGCAGGCGGUUUCUUAAGUCUGAUGUGAAAGCCCCCGGCUCAACCGGGGAGGGUCAUUGGAAACUGGGAGACUUGAGUGCAGAAGAGGAGAGUGGAAUUCCAUGUGUAGCGGUGAAAUGCGUAGAUAUAUGGAGGAACACCAGUGGCGAAGGCGGCUCUCUGGUCUGUAACUGACGCUGAGGCUCGAAAGCGUGGGGAGCAAACAGGAUUAGAUACCCUGGUAGUCCACGCCGUAAACGAUGAGUGCUAAGUGUUGGAGGGUUUCCGCCCUUCAGUGCUGCAGCAAACGCAUUAAGCACUCCGCCUGGGGAGUACGACCGCAAGGUUGAAACUCAAAGGAAUUGACGGGGGCCCGCACAAGCGGUGGAGCAUGUGGUUUAAUUC
RNAcentral lists this ribosomal RNA (981 nucleotides) under Enterococcus faecalis. Its description in RNAcentral is "bacterial SSU rRNA". It matches the Rfam family "Bacterial small subunit ribosomal RNA", at positions 1 to 952 of the family's 1533-position model. The record is from RNAcentral. Lineage: Bacteria; Bacillati; Bacillota; Bacilli; Lactobacillales; Enterococcaceae.